ACCUCAUUCAUUGUAGAGCAGCAGUGGCAGAAACCGAGACGGGCAGAGGGAUGGAGCUGUACAGGCAGUACGUACGCCUCACCAGAACUAUUCUUUCUACACAUUUUUAUGAAACCUGUGUCUCAUUCCUACUCAUUCCUUAUCCAUUUCAUCAUGGCAGAACAGAGUUGGAACAUGCAAACAGGAUCUCUCUUGGAAGAAACCAAGCCAGAAGACAUACUCCAAGGGACCUGCUAAUGUUUUCCAGCUGCUGUUGGGCAUUCAGUUCACGGGACCACACUUGAGGUGGUUUCAUGCUGUUGAAGGCACGUUUAUGGAAAGUGAGCAAUGAAGUGCAAGCUAGUUGGAUGCAGUUAAAAAUAGAAGGAUGGUAAAGCCCUUCACUUUUUCCAAAGUAUCAGUUGUAUCCUUCACUAAUACAGAUGAUGUCUGUCUUACAUACUGCUCUGGUUUUAUAGCGCUAUGAAGUCCUUCAAGUAAAAUGCAGAAGAAGUAAGCAAUAACAAGCACUGCAUGGUUUGUAGUAAAUGACUGUGUUACUGGGACGCUGCCCCUCCUGGAGAGAUGCAGAGAUGGGCUGUGCACAGCCUGUCCUGUCUGGGGUGGGAACUGCUCAUCCCCACUGAUGCCAAGCUCAGCCUUGCAUCGGUCACUGCCUCACUGAGUCAGACUGAAUCGCACGAGUUUAAAAACACAGGUGCAUGGUUGUCCUUUGGGGCCAUGGGUAAUAGAAGCAUGCUCUCUGCCUUUUAAACGUGAUGACAAAAGUUGUUCCAGGUCUCCUUAACCACCUGGAUAGCAAGUCUAACUUAAAGCAAAGGCAGACUGCGUGGCUUUCUGGAAAGAGGCAUUUUCCAAUCCAGAAUCUGGUUUCUUGAUUGAAGUAAAUUUUUAAAAGUGCUGUUUGUUUGCUUUUAUAAUAUCUAGAACAGCUUUUGGAUGCAUAGCCAUUCUGCAUGGCCUGUAAGAUGUGAAAAUUUUGUUUAAUUGGGAAGGAUGUCAUGUUUUUAUCCCUAUGCUAAGGUACGUUUUGGAUUUUACAAGGUUUUCUUCACUUCAAGAUAUGUGCAAUAUGUAAAAAAUUUCCUAAUUUAGAGAUAAGUCCUGAGAAGCACUAUAGGAGCUGAGUGGCUAAAUUCAAUAAACAGAUGCUAGCAAUGAAUCAUGAUAGUUGUAGUCAUAAAAUAAUUCAGACAUAUUUCCAGAAAAGACACCAUGCAUUUACCUAAACAGAGUGCACAUAUCUUCAUGGUGUGUAUACAAAAGAGCGUCUCACCCUUAAGCAUCACUGCAUAUAUACACAGGAAGGAGAUGCAGAACGACACUAUAUAAAUGGGGUUGUAUUUUGUCUCUCUGUGCUGUGCUCCAUCUUUUGUCAGAAGAUAAAUUACCACUGGAACACUGCUGCAGAAUGGAAUUCCUGGCUUGCCACUUUCUGCAAGCUGGCCUUUUUUUAAUAGAAAAAACAAACCAACAAACAAACUUGAUAUUGUGCUAUGAAGGUCUGGCUGUGUUACACACUUCCCAGUGGGCAGGUCACUUAGUGGAAAACACUCGGAAAACUAUGUGAAGGGUUUCUGAACUCUCGUACCUCCUGUACCCCUACUUCUCCCAUGGGUUCUGGGCUGUGUUUUCAAAGAAAUACUUGUCUCGUGCUACCCUUCUCAAUAAUUGUCAAUUCACUGGUAUCAAGGGCUCAUGACUUGGCAUCUGAGGUGCAGAAGCUGAUGAGGUAGCACUGACUUUAUUCAAGCAAGAAGGGAGUGAGUUGUGCAAGAGCUCGUCUUGCAAAGCAGCUAAAGGCCAUGCAGCGUGGUGCUUUUCAAAGCAAUAGUAUAAUAUAGUUUUGACAUGCUAAUUAUUCCAUAUAUAACCAAUAAGAAAUACAUGCUGCUCUGCACCUGGUUUGCCAGAGAAGCUCAGUAGUGCUUUACCUAGUCUGAAUGUGGAAGCAGCAGAAACUGUCUUUUGAGGAAGCAGAAACUGAGACAUAGGGCUGAGUGGAAGGCAUCAGGUGUGGAAAUGGUCACUGAAGACUGGUGGCAGGACGAGGUGUCCUAUACCUGCAGUUGCAGCACUGAACCCCUUAUACAGAGCUCCACAUUGAAUUUUUGAACCAGCUGGCCACAGGACUGGAGCUCUUGAAAAUAACUAAGCGCUACAAGAUCUGUAAAAAAUUGGUGACCAGAUAGAUCAGAGUAACUCGGUGCCCUGACUGAUGCCAAGCCUGC
This is a long non-coding RNA of Grus americana (Whooping crane), 2231 nucleotides long. RefSeq lists it as uncharacterized. The record is from RefSeq and is a predicted model, not a curated record. The transcript is spliced from 3 exons. NCBI's taxonomy places the organism in Eukaryota, Metazoa, Chordata, Aves, Gruiformes, Gruidae.